RNAcentral lists this ribosomal RNA (468 nucleotides) under uncultured bacterium. RNAcentral describes it as "partial 16S ribosomal RNA". It matches the Rfam family "Bacterial small subunit ribosomal RNA", at positions 28 to 507 of the family's 1533-position model. The record is from RNAcentral.
GACGAACGCUGGCGGCGUGCUUAACACAUGCAAGUCGAACGGAAAGGCCCUGCUUUUGUGGGGUGCUCGAGUGGCGAACGGGUGAGUAACACGGGAGUAACCUGCCCUUGACUUUGGGAUAACUUCAGGAAACUGGGGCUAAUACCGGAUAGGAGCUCCUGCUGCAUGGUGGGGGUUGGAAAGUUUCGGCGGUUGGGGAUGGACUCGCGGCUUAUCAGCUUGUUGGUGGGGUAGUGGCUUACCAAGGCUUUGACGGGUGGCCGGCCUGGGAGGGUGACCGGCCACAUUGGGACUGCGAUACGGCCCAGACUCCUACGGGAGGCAGCAGUGGGGAAUAUUGCACAAUGGGCGGAAGCCUGAUGCAGCAACGCCGCGUGCGGGAUGACGGCCUUCGGGUUGUAAACCGCUUUCGCCUGUGACGAAGCGUGAGUGACGGUAAUGGGUAAAGAAGCACCGGCUAACUACGUG